AUGCAGUUUUGGGCACGCUGGACUCAUCAACACAGCUAUGCGAAUAAAAAAUAAGAGAGAGGGAAGUAAUCAGAUGAAGAGACUGAUACAGAAAUGCUGAAGAGAGGGAUUCAGCAAAAAAAGAGAUGUUAAAAAAGCAGCAAUACUCUAGAGUCUGAAAGCCCAAGGGAGGGAAUGAUAGAAAGGAUAGAGAGCAAAGGUCCGGAUGUGUAUCUAUCUCACAAGAUCUGAAAAUCAUCUCAAGACAGCAAAUCAGUACAGCGUGAAGCUUAUGAAAGGACUCCAGGCUCCAUCAUAACAGCUUUAAUAAGUUUGGCGCAAAGAGGGAGUAAAGCUUAUUACGGAAUAUGAAGCAGAAGCCCCACAUAAAUGAUUUUACUUCAUCUAAACGCCAACGGUUUGAUUCAUAUCGCAGGAGGAAAACUGUGGGCCCAUGACGGGCUCAUAUGAAAUUAACAUAAUGAGCGCUGCUCAUAAAUCUCACUGAUUUCUUACCCAACUAUUAAAAAGCAAA
Sinocyclocheilus anshuiensis is the source of this 514-nucleotide long non-coding RNA. RefSeq lists it as uncharacterized. The record is from RefSeq and is a predicted model, not a curated record. NCBI's taxonomy places the organism in Eukaryota, Metazoa, Chordata, Actinopteri, Cypriniformes, Cyprinidae. The transcript is spliced from 3 exons.